CCUACGGGAGGCAGCAGUGGGGAAUAUUGCGCAAUGGGCGAAAGCCUGACGCAGCGACGCCGCGUGAGGGAUGAAGGUUUUCGGAUCGUAAACCUCUGUCAGCAGGGACGAACGGUCACUGUGCUAAUCAGCAAUGAGUUGCCGGUACCUGCAAAGGAAGCACCGGCUAACUCCGUGCGUGCAGCCGCGGUAAUACGGAGGGUGGGAGCUUUAAUCGGAAUUACGGGGCGUAAAGCGCUCGUUGGCGGUAUGUCAAGUCAAGGGUGAAAUCCCCGCGCUCAACGUGGGAACUGCCUUUGAAACUGGCAAACUGGAGUGUGGGAGAGGAUAGUGGAAGUCCAGGUGUAGGAGUGAAAUGCGUAGAUAUCUGGAGGAACAUCAGUGGCGAAGGCGACUAUCUGGCACAUAACUGACGCUGAGGAGCGAAAGCGUGGGUAGCAAACAGGAUUAGAUACCCCAGUAGUC
This 465-nucleotide ribosomal RNA is filed under the name uncultured bacterium. RNAcentral describes it as "partial 16S ribosomal RNA". It matches the Rfam family "Bacterial small subunit ribosomal RNA", at positions 338 to 795 of the family's 1533-position model. The record is from RNAcentral.